GUGCUAAUGGUGUAGUGGUUAUCACAUCUGUCUAACACACAUAAGGUCCCAGGUUCGAUCCCUGGUGAGCCCC
RNAcentral lists this transfer RNA (73 nucleotides) under Homarus americanus (American lobster). RNAcentral describes it as "tRNA-Val". It matches the Rfam family "tRNA". From Rfam's summary of the family: Transfer RNA (tRNA) molecules are approximately 80 nucleotides in length. Their secondary structure includes four short double-helical elements and three loops (D, anti-codon, and T loops). Further hydrogen bonds mediate the characteristic L-shaped molecular structure. tRNAs have two regions of fundamental functional importance: the anti-codon, which is responsible for specific mRNA codon recognition, and the 3' end, to which the tRNAs corresponding amino acid is attached (by aminoacyl-tRNA synthetases). tRNAs cope with the degeneracy of the genetic code in two manners: having more than one tRNA (with a specific anti-codon) for a particular amino acid; and 'wobble' base-pairing, i.e. permitting non-standard base-pairing at the 3rd anti-codon position. The record is from Rfam by way of RNAcentral. Lineage: Eukaryota; Metazoa; Arthropoda; Malacostraca; Decapoda; Nephropidae.